AGUGGCGAACGGGUGAGUAACACGUGGGUAACCUACCAUAUAGACAGGGACAACAGUUGGAAACGACUGCUAAUACCUGAUAACAUAAGCUAUCGCAUGAUAGGUUAUGGAAAGGGGCGUAUGCCUCACUAUGUGAUGGACCCGCGGCGCAUUAGCUAGUUGGUGAGAUAAAAGCUCACCAAGGCGACGAUGCGUAGCCGACCUGAGAGGGUGAACGGCCACAUUGGGACUGANACACGGCCCAGACUCCUACGGGAGGCAGCAGUAGGGAAUUUUCCACAAUGGGGGCAACCCUGAUGGAGCAAUGCCGCGUGAGAGAAGAAGGCCUUCGGGUUGUAAAUCUCUGUUGUGAGGGAAGAAAAUUGAUAANAGGAAAUGCUUAUUAAGUGACGGUACCUUACCAGAAAGCCACNGCUAACUACGUGCCAGCAGCCGCGGUAAUACGUAGGUGGCGAGCGUUAUCCGG
Molecule: ribosomal RNA, 466 nt
Filed under: uncultured Eubacteriaceae bacterium
Lineage: Bacteria; Bacillati; Bacillota; Clostridia; Eubacteriales; Eubacteriaceae
Description: bacterial SSU rRNA
Rfam family: Bacterial small subunit ribosomal RNA
Source: RNAcentral